CACGCCAUAAACGAUGUCAACUAGUUGUUGGGUUCCUUGAGGACUUAGUAACGCAGCUAACGCAUUAAGUUGACCGCCUGGGGAGUACGGCCGCAAGGUUAAAACUCAAAUGAAUUGACGGGGGCCCGCACAAGCGGUGGAGCAUGUGGUUUAAUUCGAAGCAACGCGAAGAACCUUACCUGGUCUUGACAUGUAGCGAACUUUCUAGAGAUAGAUUGGUGCCUUCGGGAACGCUAACACAGGUGC
RNAcentral lists this ribosomal RNA (246 nucleotides) under uncultured Pseudomonas sp. RNAcentral describes it as "partial 16S ribosomal RNA". It matches the Rfam family "Bacterial small subunit ribosomal RNA", at positions 796 to 1041 of the family's 1533-position model. Lineage: Bacteria; Pseudomonadati; Pseudomonadota; Gammaproteobacteria; Pseudomonadales; Pseudomonadaceae. The record is from RNAcentral.